This 201-nucleotide long non-coding RNA is filed under the name Lathyrus oleraceus (garden pea). RNAcentral's name for it is "Pisum sativum (pea) long non-coding RNA (PSAT_LNC026851)". The record is from RNAcentral. Lineage: Eukaryota; Viridiplantae; Streptophyta; Magnoliopsida; Fabales; Fabaceae.
UAACAUUGUGUCAUGUCUCGACGACCGCCAAUAAAUGAUGAUGGCAAAAUUGUUCUUUUUCCAAUGUUUUCUAUGCUGAUUCAUGAAAGGAAUUAGUAUUAUAAUACAUGAAUGAUUAGCAUUAUAACUGCAACUAAUAAUUAAUCAAAUACUGUAUAUUUAUGUUAUAUGAAUUUGUAUCUGCAUUAGUUUCACCAACAU